Molecule: ribosomal RNA, 359 nt
Filed under: Salmonella enterica subsp. enterica serovar Typhimurium
Lineage: Bacteria; Pseudomonadati; Pseudomonadota; Gammaproteobacteria; Enterobacterales; Enterobacteriaceae
Description: bacterial LSU rRNA
Rfam family: Bacterial large subunit ribosomal RNA
Source: RNAcentral
AACUCGGGUGAAGGAACUAGGCAAAAUGGUGCCGUAAAUUCGGGAGAAGGCACGCUGACACGUAGGUGAAGUGAGUUACUCAUGGAGCUGAAGGCAGUCGAAGAUACCAGCGGGCGGGAACUGUUGAUUAAAAACGCAGCUCUGUGCAAACACGAAAGUUGACGUAGGCGGUGUGACGCCUGCCCGGUGGCGGAAGGUUAAGUGAUGGGGUCAGCGUAAGCGAAGCUCCUGAUCGAAGCCCCGGUAAGCGGCGGCCGUAACUAGAACGGUCCUAAGGUAGCGAAAUUCCUUGUCGGGUAAGUUCCGGCCUGCACGAAUGGCGUAAUGAUGGCCAGGCUGUCUCCACCCGAGACUCAGUG